AUGGCGGCGGCGACCGCUCCGACGACUGCGACGAAGCUGGCGGCCGAUGAGUAAACGGCGGAGCUCGCGGGGGUGCCGGUGGGGGCGCCGAUGGGUGCGCCGGUGGGUGUGGCAGAGACCGCGGACGGCGUCAUCGCGGAGGGAGCGUCGGUGGUCGGGGCAGGGGGAGAUGCCAUCGGGGACGGCGACGCGGCGGUUGGAGGGGUGGCGACCGGCGCGGGGGCGGUGGCCGGGGACCUCGCCGGUGGCGCCGGAAGCGGGGCCAUCCGCGGUGCGGGGAGAGGCGCCGCACCGGGGGCCUGUGCGGCGGCGGUGACGGCCAGGAGCGCCACGAUGGCGGCGACGACGGCGAAGCGGGCCAUCAGGUUGGCGCAGGCGGUGAUCGGUGGAAGACUUUGGCUAGGAUUGCAGAGCAGGAGGUAA
This 423-nucleotide ribosomal RNA is filed under the name Triticum aestivum (bread wheat). Its description in RNAcentral is "partial small subunit ribosomal RNA". The record is from RNAcentral. Lineage: Eukaryota; Viridiplantae; Streptophyta; Magnoliopsida; Poales; Poaceae.